This 830-nucleotide ribosomal RNA is filed under the name Cicadatra nr. atra ERLG-2019. RNAcentral describes it as "SSU rRNA". It matches the Rfam family "Eukaryotic small subunit ribosomal RNA", at positions 952 to 1784 of the family's 1831-position model. The record is from RNAcentral. RNAcentral also lists the same sequence under 2 other names. Lineage: Eukaryota; Metazoa; Arthropoda; Insecta; Hemiptera; Cicadidae.
CAUUUGCCAAGUAUGUUCCCGUUAAUCAAGAACGAAAGUUAGAGGUUCGAAGGCGAUCAGAUACCGCCCUAGUUCUAACCAUAAACGAUGCCAGCCAGCGAUCCGCCGAAGUUCCUCCGAUGACUCGGCGGGCAGCUUCCGGGAAACCAAAGCUUUUGGGUUCCGGGGGAAGUAUGGUUGCAAAGCUGAAACUUAAAGGAAUUGACGGAAGGGCACCACCAGGAGUGGAGCCUGCGGCUUAAUUUGACUCAACACGGGAAACCUCACCAGGCCCGGACACCGGAAGGAUUGACAGAUUGAGAGCUCUUUCUUGAUUCGGUGGGUGGUGGUGCAUGGCCGUUCUUAGUUGGUGGAGCGAUUUGUCUGGUUAAUUCCGGUAACGAACGAGACUCUAGCCUGCUAAAUAGACGAUUUCCGGUAUCCACAAUAGUGCUACCGGCGAAAUCAAUAUCUUCUUAGAGGGACAGGCGGCUUUCAGCCGCACGAAACUGAGCAAUAACAGGUCUGUGAUGCCCUUAGAUGUCCUGGGCCGCACGCGCGCUACACUGAAGGAAUCAGCGUGUAUACCCUGGCCGAAAGGCUCGGGCAACCCGUUGAACCUCCUUCGUGCUAGGGAUUGGGGCUUGCAAUUGUUCCCCAUGAACGAGGAAUUCCCAGUAAGCGCGAGUCAUAAGCUCGCGUUGAUUACGUCCCUGCCCUUUGUACACACCGCCCGUCGCUACUACCGAUUGAAUGAUUUAGUGAGGUCUUCGGACUGGUGCGCGGCGGCCGCCUGCGCGGCCGCCGAUGCCACCGGGAAGAUGACCGAACUUGAUCAUUUAGAGGAAGUA